ACAAAUUCAUUGUUAGCAAUUUGGCUGAAAAAUAAAAACAGGUUUAUAAUGUCGUCAUAUACUGUAAGUCUAUGGUACAACCAUAUUUAUAAUGUUAUGGAGUUGGGGCUAGGUUUUCGGGAUUCCCUCUAAUUUUGCAAUUCUGCGGGUGGCGUUGUGGGUAAAACCUCAGUGCCUAGGACUUGCCGAUCGCAUGGUCGGCGGUUCAAAUCGCCGCGGCGGGGUGCGCUCCCGUCGUUCGGUCCCAGCACCUGUCAACCUAGCAGUUCGAAAGCACCCCCGGGUGCAAGUAGAUAAAUAGGGACCGCUUACCAGCGGGAAGGUAAACGGUGUUUCCGUGUGCUGCGCUGGAUCGCCAGAUGCAGCUUGUCACGCUGGCCACGUGACCCGGAAGUGUCUGCGGACAGCGCUGGCUCCCGGCCUAUAGAGUGAGAUGAGCACACAACCCUAGAGUCUGUGAAGACUGGACGUACGGGCAGGGGUAGCUUUACCUUUACCUUUACCUUUUAUCUGGAUCAUGAAGGUCACAGCCCAGGCCUAGAGAACAUUACUGUACAACCAUUGUUGCAUCUGGUGAGAGUGAGUUCCACAGGAAUACAGAAAGCUGUCUCAUGUCAAGUUCAGUCAGGUGUGCAAGCUGAGUUGCAAGAAAGAAGGUACAGUAAGGUUAAGGUGUGAGCGGAAACUAAAUGGCUCUGUUUGAAACCCAUAGGAGCCAACCAGAGUGCAAUUUAACAAUUUCUCUUGCAGUGUAUUAGGACUUGGACUUUGUGUGUGGUCCAUUGUUCAGUUUAUAAUGGAUGCACUGUUGGCUUGCAGAGUUACUGAACUACCCAGGUUUUUUUGCUCCUUUUCUUUGAGGGGGGAUAAAGUGCUUUGAGGUACUCUAUGAAUGAACGUUGUACUGAGAAACCCUAAUCUAUUCCAUAUUGCACAAUGAAAAGCAACUCCACUGAGCCCUGAUGAAUUGUAGUACUUUCCCCUCUUUUGCUCUGAGUACAUGGCAAAUCUGAAGGGACUCUGCAAGGUGUGUCUGGAACCCUUUUCUUUCGUUGAAGCCCUUCUUCGUGUCCCCCCACCAUGAGAGUCCAGGAGGGCAGCAACACAAGAACGGGCUCUCUGUUUUUGGAAUGCUUUCCCUAGGGAGG
This 1148-nucleotide long non-coding RNA is filed under the name Podarcis muralis (Common wall lizard). RNAcentral describes it as "lncRNA (ENSPMRG00000019442.1)". The record is from RNAcentral. Lineage: Eukaryota; Metazoa; Chordata; Lepidosauria; Squamata; Lacertidae.